GGGCCCGCACAAGCAGUGGAGUAUGUGGUUUAAUUCGAAGCAACGCGAAGAACCUUACCAGGUCUUGACAUCGUGCGCAUAACUAAGAGAUUAGUGAAGUUCCUUCGGGAACGCAUAGACAGGUGGUGCAUGGUUGUCGUCAGCUCGUGUCGUGAGAUGUUGGGUUAAGUCCCGCAACGAGCGCAACCCUUACCUUUAGUUGCUACGCAAGAGCACUCUAGAGGGACUGCCGUUGACAAAACGGAGGAAGGUGGGGAUGACGUCAAAUCAUCAUGCCCCUUAUGAUCUGGGCUACACACGUACUACAAUGGCAAUUAACAAAGAGAAGCAAAGUCGCGAGGCGGAGCAAAUCUCCAAAAAUUGUCCCAGUUCAGAUUGCAGGCUGCAACUCGCCUGCAUGAAGUCGGAAUUGCUAGUAAUCGCAGAUCAGCAUGCUGCGGUGAAUACGUUCCCGGGCCUU
Molecule: ribosomal RNA, 460 nt
Filed under: uncultured bacterium
Lineage: Bacteria
Description: bacterial SSU rRNA
Rfam family: Bacterial small subunit ribosomal RNA
Source: RNAcentral